Molecule: long non-coding RNA, 214 nt
Filed under: Olea europaea (common olive)
Lineage: Eukaryota; Viridiplantae; Streptophyta; Magnoliopsida; Lamiales; Oleaceae
Description: long non-coding RNA (OEUR_LNC006101)
Source: RNAcentral
UUCAUAUAUCCAAUACUGAAAUAAAAAUAAAAGAAAUAUUAAGAUUUUUAUAUGAUUAAAUUAUAUGUAACAGGAAAAAAAUAAAAGAAAAAUACCUGGAAUGCAAGUGGAUAACCAUGUAACGAAUAUUUACAAUCUGUUUGGUCAUUUUGUUGCAUCCUUCGUAUUCUUUCAAGGUGUGAUUCUUGCAAUGAAUUUAAUAAAACAAAGUAUG